AGCACAGCCUGCAGCUGGAUGUGCCACUGAUGGACCUGCCCUGCAUGAAUUUAUGAAGAUUUUUUUUAAUCCAGUUCUAUUUUUGGCCACCACCACAUCCCAUGGCAAUGAGUUCCACAGGAAUUACUUCAGGGCUUGUCUCUGGCCUGUGCCACACAGGAGAUCUGAACAGAUGAUCACAGCGGUCCCUUCUGGUCUAGGAAUGGAUGGAUCUAUGGCUCAUGGCAGUGGACGAGAAGAAGCCUACGUAAUGGGUUGCUGCACCAUCUGCUUUUCAGCAGAAAUACAUCCUCCAGAUCCUGCUCCUACAUUUGCAUCAGACCAUGACUUGCAGUGUAUAUUCACCCUCCUGCCUGUGGUUAGAAAUGUGUUGAUGAUGAGAAAGUCAGUUGAUGCUGCAGGCUGAUACUACAGCAAGGCUGGGCAAUAAUUUUCUCAAGGGGGCCACUUAAUUAAUUUUGGUGGGUAAUUAUGGGCUGGCUCCCAGAAGGGGCGGGGCCUGGGGCAGAAGGGGCGGGGCUGGGGACUAGCCUCACCACAGAGUUGUCUGGGGCCAAAGGUUUUGAAGUAAAAACACUGCAAAGGGCUCGCAGCUCCUGGCCCUGCCACUACCAUGUUGCCUGGCAGCCAUUUGGUUUUGCUGUGUCUAUUUAAAAGGCUAGCAGCUCUGGCCCCUGCCAGGGUAGUGCCACAACUAUGAGCUGGGAGCCAUUUAAAUAGGAUCCUGCUGCCUGAGCCACUGCCUGGAAAUUGGUGGCACAGUCAGCAGGAUACAAAUAGAAAGUGGCCCUGCACUGCAGUGUCCUGGGCCUAUGAAUUAAUUAAUGCACUGCCCUCAUGUACCCUGUGCUUUGCAAAUUCAAGUAUUUGAAAAUUCCAUCCGUAGUUCAAAGAAGUAAGAUGAUAAUAGGCUUGAACUUCAUACCAACUAGCUUCCCAGCUGCAGUUUUGUCCGUGCUCCCCUCUGCAUUUUGCUCCCUAUGGAAAAUUAGAGAAAUAUGAUGUGAGUGAGUGUGGAAAGUCACCUGUACUUACUGUGUUAAAACAAGAGAGUUCUGGGCUAACAUCACAUCCACCCACCUGAUGUUCAGGCUUAGCAAAUGUGAUUAUGUCUCUGUCUCCUGGCUGGUAACAGCAAUUACAGUAGCUCGUUAGUGAUGGUUUUUCCUCUAGCUUAAAUGGAGAGGAGUACUCCACCGGCACUACAAGGUGUAUAUCCAUGUGUCUACAGUAGGUCACACAAACAUCUCUGAUUUUUGGUGGAGGAUGGCUCUGGAAUCCAAACCCAAGCCUGGACCUCAGUUUUACAAACAGCUCAUAUCUAUUUCACAUCUCAAAGCAAGAGUCUAGACUCAAACAAAUCCAGAAUUUAGGAUGAUCCAGAUCUGAAUUUUGAGGUCUGGGCCUAUUUAUCUUUUAAAUCUUCAGUGGAAGAUUUAAAAUUGUGAAAAAAAAUCUCAGGAAGUGACUCCACUUCCUUUGUUGUCUCCUACUGAAUUUCAGAGUCAUCCCUUGUACCAGCUGGACCAUGACACAGCAUGCAGGGCUUCCUUCUCCCCGAAUUACCAGUGGGACUGAAAGUGCCUGGCACAGGCAGUUUUUAGGCUCAUCUAUCAUCUGGAAACCCUAGAAAUUUUGCUUUACAAAGAAUGUCAACCUCAUAACCCCCACUAUAUUGAUGGGGAAACUGAGGCACAGAGAAGGAAAAUUUCUCACCCAUGAUCACCCAGCAGCAGAAUAAAGAACAGACCCUCUGGCUAUGUCUACAUUGCAACUUGCAGGCAGAGGGUAUGCUAAUGAAGUGCUCAUUAGCAUUUGUUGUGCUGUCAUUUGAAUAUAUAUCUCUGCCGAUGAUUUUUGUGCAAGAGAUUUUUGGGCAAAAACAAGCAGUGUAGAUGGUCUGUUUUGCACAAAAAAUCCUUUUGUGCAAGAUCCUGUAUACCUACUUUUUUGAGGCAUCUUGCACAAAAGGUUUUUUUUUUUUACAAAAUGGACCCAUAUAUACUGCUUGUUUUGCCAAAAAAUCCUCUUGUGC
Molecule: non-coding RNA, 2035 nt
Organism: Pelodiscus sinensis (Chinese soft-shelled turtle)
Lineage: Eukaryota; Metazoa; Chordata; Testudines; Trionychidae
Source: RefSeq, a predicted model, not a curated record